Molecule: ribosomal RNA, 498 nt
Filed under: uncultured bacterium
Lineage: Bacteria
Description: partial 16S ribosomal RNA
Rfam family: Bacterial small subunit ribosomal RNA
Source: RNAcentral
AUUGAACGCUGGCGGCAUGCUUUACACAUGCAAGUCGAACGGCAGCGCGGGGCAACCUGGCGGCGAGUGGCGAACUGGUGAGUAAUACAUCGGAACGUACCCAGAAGUGGGGGACAACGUAGCGAAAGUUACGCUAAUACCGCAUACGUUCUACGGAAGAAAGUGGGGGAUCUUCGGACCUCAUGCUUUUGGAGCGGCCGAUGUCUGAUUAGCUAGUUGGUGAGGUAAAGGCUCACCAAGGCGACGAUCAGUAGCUGGUCUGGAAGGACGACCAGCCACACUGGGACUGAGACACGGCCCAGACUCCUACGGGAGGCAGCAGUGGGGAAUUUUGGACAAUGGGCGCAAGCCUGAUCAAGCAAUGCCGCGUGAGUGAAGAAGGCCUUCGGGUUGUAAAGCUCUUUUGCCAGGGAAGAAACGGCUGGGGCUAAUAUCCCCGGCUAAUGACGGUACCUGAAGAAUAAGCACCGGCUAACUACGUGCCAGCAGCCGCCGUAA